Molecule: ribosomal RNA, 402 nt
Filed under: uncultured bacterium
Lineage: Bacteria
Description: bacterial SSU rRNA
Rfam family: Bacterial small subunit ribosomal RNA
Source: RNAcentral
UGGGGAAUCUUAGACAAUGGGGGCAACCCUGAUCUAGCCAUGCCGCGUGAGUGAUGAAGGCCCUAGGGUUGUAAAGCUCUUUCAGCUGGGAAGAUAAUGACGGUACCAGCAGAAGAAGCCCCGGCUAACUCCGUGCCAGCAGCCGCGGUAAUACGGAGGGGGCUAGCGUUGUUCGGAAUUACUGGGCGUAAAGCGCACGUAGGCCGAUUGGAAAGUUAGAGGUGAAAUCCCAGGGCUCAACCUUGGAACUGCCUUUAAAACUAUCAGUCUAGAGUUCGAGAGAGGUGAGUGGAAUUCCGAGUGUAGAGGUGAAAUUCGUAGAUAUUCGGAGGAACACCAGUGGCGAAGGCGGCUCACUGGCUCGAUACUGACGCUGAGGUGCGAAAGCGUGGGGAGCAAACA